UUCAAUUAUUGGAUAAUCAAUAUUUCCAAACAAAAGCAAAAGGGAUAAAAACAAACUCUUAGAAACUUUCUGCGGAUUUAUUUACCAACACAACUUUCUCAGGUCCCUGAUGGCUUUUCCAAUACUGAUGCUUGACGUCGAUACUACGCUGUCUUGUUGGAAAUGUGACAUAAACAAAGUUUUUCCAACAAAAGGACAAAGGAAAAAUAAUAAAAACUUAAAGUAUUCCUACAUUAAACACAGUCCUAAGUCCCACAGGGAUAGUGUUGCAACAUAGACUGAGGUUUUCAGAGGUUAGUGAUACAUUACUCCACAUAAUAAGCUCAAAUGACAUGAGUUUAGGGGCUUUUCCCUACACAACAAUAUCACCCGGAAGUGGAAAAAUAACUUGCAUGAUGUCUAAAAACUAAAAGUGCUGUUGAUGUCGAAGCAAAAAAAAAAAUCCUAUUGUGAGUAGUUCUUUUUUUAACGUCUAAUUAUUGCAUAAAGACAAUCCACAUAUACAUGUCUUUUUUGAAAAUGCACGUUCCAUUUCAGCAUCAUGUGAGCUUCUUUCCACUCCUGACAGAACAUAAUACCUGUUAUAACAGGUAACGAGAGAUUAUGGCACAGUCAUAAGAUAAAUGCUCAGUGACAAAUCUUUGUUCUAAGGCAAAUACAGCUAAUUCUGUAAAUUGCCCCCCAGACACUCACUUCCUGCCUAAAGUCUAAAAGGUCCAAUACUGACAAUCAUUACAAAAAAGAAAAACAUCUAUGAUGAUCAGUGGUGUUUCUGCCUCCUGUGGCAGCAUCAAUGAGGGAGUUCUAGUGAAUCUUUUAAAAAAGUAAAUAUGUAUUUUCAUCAAAUGGGUUGAGGGCAGAAAUAUUCCACCAGUGCUGAGAUUUAACAAGUGUGAAUAAAUGUCAAGUCUGACAAGAUCUCAAUGCAAGUGCCAAAGCUUUAAUUUAUUUCUUUUAAAUGUUAUAAAGUGAUUCGCUUAACCUGAGAAUCCAAACAAUUGUAGUCAAAUUAAAGACAAACCAAAAAGUUGCAUUUGCUUUUUUAACUGACAUGAAUUUAUUCCAAACUAAAUGCAUGUCUGCUUUGGCACAGGUUGCUCCUAAGUGUAAAAUUAGUUGGGUUUGUGUUUUUGUGCUAACUGAGGGCUCUGGCUGCUCUGAUGCCAAUCCUCUCCUACGGUUCCCUAUUCAUCCAUGCCUACUUCCAUUUAUCACUCAUUCAGUUACUUUGCAUACUUUUUCUGUUCCUCGUGAGAGUUCAGUUUGUAAGAAAUGCUUACAUAAGUAUAGAUUUGUUGGUGCAGACGUCUUUUGUGUAGAAAUCACAGCGUUCAAUACAUUUAUUUGAGGAUAAAAUGUGGAUACUUUUAUGAGAGGGCCAAAGAUUUAACCGUUGAAUUAAUCAAAACAUUGGUCAGGUUGCAGUCAGUUGGAGCCACUCCAAGUGUUCACCAGGCCUGGUGAGAGAAACAUCAAUGCUGACAGAAAAUAUGCAAAGCUUAAAAUGAGAUUAAAGUUUCCAAAUGGAUGUUAUUCAUUCAUUUCUGCUAAAUUAGAGAAGUGGAUCUUUGCAUUUUGUAAAAGUGGCUCAUUUAUGCUUUAUAUGUGACUAUCUUAGAAAUAGUGCAUCAUUUUGUUGUCGUGUCCAAAAAAUCACUGGCAAUCUGGUUUUCAAAUUGCGAAUCAGAUGCAUCAAAGGAUGAUGAUAAAAUAUUAGUUUUUCUUAUCAUGAGAAGAAACACAAUGCAGGUAAAAACCACUGAGAUAACACUCGGUAUUUAGAUUACAGGAACAUUCUGUGAUGAGAUUUUUACAUUUAUGAGGAAACUGGUUUUCAUCAGGAACCAAAUGAACGAGGUCAUGAUGAAGAAUAGUAGUGGAAUUGCUACUUUUUGUCAGUUAAUAUCGUAAAAGUUUUGCAGAUGACAAAUGGAUUUUAAAGAACUGCUA
Molecule: long non-coding RNA, 1950 nt
Organism: Poecilia latipinna (sailfin molly)
Lineage: Eukaryota; Metazoa; Chordata; Actinopteri; Cyprinodontiformes; Poeciliidae
Exons: 2
Source: RefSeq, a predicted model, not a curated record